GUUGUGGCUCAAGUGGUAGAGCACUUGCCUAGUAAGCAAGAGACCUUGAGUUCAAACCCGAGUACUACA
Molecule: transfer RNA, 69 nt
Filed under: Dipodomys ordii (Ord's kangaroo rat)
Lineage: Eukaryota; Metazoa; Chordata; Mammalia; Rodentia; Heteromyidae
Rfam family: tRNA
About the family: Transfer RNA (tRNA) molecules are approximately 80 nucleotides in length.
Source: Rfam by way of RNAcentral